GGCAGAUUCAAGAGGUAUAAUGCUCAUCCAAUGAACUUUCUGGAAAACUGACCGAAUGUAUAUUGGAUCGCUACGCUUGGAGAUUAGGACAAAAGGUCAUCAUCAGAAAAGCUAAGUUUGCUAUACAGUAAGGAUCAGGAGAUCUGACCCUGGUUGCAGAACCAUUCCUGGUUGCAGAAUACAGGGUUGUAUUCCCACUUCAUCUUUCCAGACCAUCCUAGGAGAUCUGUAAGAUUCCAUCUGGGAGAUUACUAGGAAUCCUUGGAAGGGAGAGAAGGAACAUUGUUGGUUGGAAUAAAAACAGGGUUGAAUGAGUUCCAGAAAGCAGGCUUCUCAAACUCGUGGACAACAAUCUGCUGAAGAAGACAACUUUAAGAAACCCACUCGCAGCAAUAUGCAGAGAAGUAAGAUGAGAGGAGCUGCCUCAGGAAAGAAGUCAGCUGGUUCGCAGCCGAAGAAUCUUGAUCCAGCCCUCCCAGGAAGAUGGGGAGGUCGCUCUGCUGAGAACCCCCCUUCUGGUUCUGUGCGGAAGACAAGGAAGAACAAGCAGAAGACUCCUGGCAACGGAGACGGUGGCAGUACCAGUGAAGUCCCCCAGCCUCCUCGGAAGAAAAGGGCACGGGCUGACCCCACUGUGGAGAGCGAGGAAGCAUUCAAGAGUAGGAUGGAGGUGAAGGUGAAGAUCCCUGAAGAAUUAAAACCAUGGCUGGUGGAAGAU
This 718-nucleotide long non-coding RNA is filed under the name Rattus norvegicus (Norway rat). RNAcentral describes it as "long non-coding RNA NONRATT031164". Lineage: Eukaryota; Metazoa; Chordata; Mammalia; Rodentia; Muridae. The record is from RNAcentral.